CCGGGCACGGACGUGCGGUGAGCUACUCACGGUUCACGACUCCUUUAUCGAGAGGCUGUGUGAGGCCGGCCUCCUACCGAUGUGUCGGCUGGUGGAGGCUGCUGCCGGCGACGCGGACCCGGCCAGACGAUGGAUUGACAGGUCCCCGUCCAGCUGCGCACGUUCCUAGGCCGACUCCCCCUCCGCACGGAGGGUUUCGUGCACCGUUCAGCACCCCGCCUUCCUCGGCUAGGCCUUCUGUUGUGCCCCCC
This is a long non-coding RNA of Oryza sativa Japonica Group (Japanese rice), 251 nucleotides long. RefSeq lists it as uncharacterized. NCBI's taxonomy places the organism in Eukaryota, Viridiplantae, Streptophyta, Magnoliopsida, Poales, Poaceae. The record is from RefSeq and is a predicted model, not a curated record.